This 253-nucleotide ribosomal RNA is filed under the name uncultured bacterium. Its description in RNAcentral is "partial 16S ribosomal RNA". It matches the Rfam family "Bacterial small subunit ribosomal RNA", at positions 524 to 776 of the family's 1533-position model. The record is from RNAcentral.
UACGUAGGGUGCGAGCGUUGUCCGGAAUUACUGGGCGUAAAGAGCUCGUAGGUGGUUUGUCGCGUUGUCCGUGAAAACUCACAACUCAAUUGUGGGCGUGCGGGCGAUACGGGCAGACUGGAGUACUGCAGGGGAGACUGGAAUUCCUGGUGUAGCGGUGGAAUGCGCAGAUAUCAGGAGGAACACCGGUGGCGAAGGCGGGUCUCUGGGCAGUAGCUGACACUGAGGCGCGAAAGCGUGGGGAGCAAACAGG